UUUUCUCUAAAGGGACCGAUGACGACGUGGCAAAACUAAUUCACCUGAGAGGUGAAAAGGAGCACCUCUUCUCAGGGAAGCGUUUUGCGUCAGCAGCUGGAUGGGAAGCUGUGUUGAAAGACAUGGGCCUUGCUGGCCUGGUGAGUCCUGCCAGAGCCGCCAAGAAGUGGGAGAACCUCAAAAAGACGUACAAGGCUCAAUUAUGUCUCCAUCUCUGAGACAGAAGUUUUGCAAAAUGGCACAACAUGCAAUGACCCUCACGGCGAAAACAGGAUGAACUUCCAGAGCCUUGAAAAACACGGAACGCCACCUGGUCUUCAUAAUG
This is a long non-coding RNA of Stegastes partitus (bicolor damselfish), 325 nucleotides long. RefSeq lists it as uncharacterized. Lineage: Eukaryota; Metazoa; Chordata; Actinopteri; Pomacentridae. The transcript is spliced from 3 exons. The record is from RefSeq and is a predicted model, not a curated record.